GGGGUCGUAGCUCAGUUGGGAGAGCGCCUGCAUGGCAUGCAGGAGGCCGCCGGUUCGAUCCCGGCCGACUCCA
Molecule: transfer RNA, 73 nt
Filed under: Minicystis rosea
Lineage: Bacteria; Pseudomonadati; Myxococcota; Polyangiales; Polyangiaceae
Description: tRNA-Ala
Rfam family: tRNA
About the family: Transfer RNA (tRNA) molecules are approximately 80 nucleotides in length. Their secondary structure includes four short double-helical elements and three loops (D, anti-codon, and T loops).
Source: RNAcentral